ACUCUCUCUCCUCUCCUCCUCUCCUCUCAAAUCUCUCUGACUUCUCUCUAAAAACCUCUCCCUUCUCUCUAACCUUUCUCCUCUUAUCUCUUUCUCCUCCUCUCUUCUUCUUCUCUACCACCGCCCGCCGCCACCACGGCCGCCGCCGCCGUUAUUUUUUUUACCCUUUUUUUCUUUUUUCUGCCUCUCCUCACCCUCCUUUUCUGGUCUCGCUGGCGGCGACGGGCGCCGCCGUCUCCGCCUCCACUCUCCUCCCACAACGAACAAAGCAAGAAAAAACAGGAGGAAGAAAAGGUAAAAACAUGAAAACCCCUCCUUCUAAUUAAUUCUUUUCGUUUUGACUUCGAUUCGGGCUUGCAUGUUGUUUGCAAACCCCGAUCUGUGGAGUUACGAUCUGAGUUUUUUUUGUUUUUAUGUUCUUUUCCUUAUUUCUGUUGUCUUGAUGUUGGUGUAUGUUUCAAUAAAGAUGGGGAUCGACGGAGCCGGAGAGGCCGAAAAAGUUUCCGUCAAAGACGGACUCGCCGGAGCAAAGGACGAGAAAGGUAAAAGGGUACUCGCUGGAGCAGAGGACGAGAAAGGUAAAAGGUUAAACCCUUCACUCAUUCUGAUUUUACUUAGUUGAUGAUGAUAGUUUUGUUUGAUUAGGUUGCUUGAACUAAAAUCUGGACUAUUUUGUUGUUAUGAUGAGUUUUAGAAAUCUGAAC
RNAcentral lists this long non-coding RNA (704 nucleotides) under Linum usitatissimum (flax). RNAcentral describes it as "long non-coding RNA (LUSI_LNC002974)". The record is from RNAcentral. Lineage: Eukaryota; Viridiplantae; Streptophyta; Magnoliopsida; Malpighiales; Linaceae.